This 279-nucleotide ribosomal RNA is filed under the name uncultured bacterium. RNAcentral describes it as "partial 16S ribosomal RNA". It matches the Rfam family "Bacterial small subunit ribosomal RNA", at positions 506 to 784 of the family's 1533-position model. The record is from RNAcentral.
UGCCAGCCGCCGCGGUAAUACGAAGGGACCUAGCGUAGUUUGGAAUUACUGGGCUUAAAGAGUUCGUAGGUGGUUAAAAAAGUUGGUGGUGAAAUCCCAGAGCUUGACUCUGGAACUGCCAUCAAAACUUUUUAGCUAGAGUAUGAUAGAGGAAAGCAGAAUUUCUAGUGUAGAGGUGAAAUUCGUAGAUAUUAGAAAGAAUACCGAUUGCGAAGGCAGCUUUCUGGAUCAUUACUGACACUGAGGUACGAAAGCGUGGGUAGCAAACAGGAUUAGAUA